Molecule: ribosomal RNA, 512 nt
Filed under: uncultured bacterium
Lineage: Bacteria
Description: partial 16S ribosomal RNA
Rfam family: Bacterial small subunit ribosomal RNA
Source: RNAcentral
GACGAACGCUGGCGGCGUGCCUAAUACAUGCAAGUCGAGCGAAGUGGAGAGAGCUUGCUCUCAAAGCUUAGCGGCGAACGGGUGAGUAACACGUGGGCAACCUGCCUGUAAGACUGGGAUAACUUCGGAAAACCGAAGCUAAGACCGGAUAGGAUCUUCUCCUUCAUGGGAGAUGAUUGAAAGAUGGUUUCGGCUAUCACUUACAGAUGUGGCCGCGGUGCCUUAGCUAGUUGGUGAGGUAACGGCUCACCAAGGCAACGAUGCAUAGCCGACCUGAGAGGGUGAUCGGCCACACUGGGACUGAGACACGGCCCAGACUCCUACGGGAGGCAGCAGUAGGGAAUCUUCCGCAAUGGACGAAAGUCUGACGGAGCAACGCCGCGUGAGUGAUGAAGGCUUUCGGGUCGUAAAACUCUGUUGUUAGGGAAGAACAAGUACAAGAGUAACUGCUUGUACCUUGACGGUACCUAACCAGAAAGCCACGGCUAACUACGUGCCAGCAGCCGCGGUAA